This 480-nucleotide ribosomal RNA is filed under the name uncultured bacterium. Its description in RNAcentral is "SSU rRNA". It matches the Rfam family "Bacterial small subunit ribosomal RNA", at positions 26 to 521 of the family's 1533-position model. The record is from RNAcentral.
AGAACGAACGCUGGCGGCAUGCCUAACACAUGCAAGUCGAACGCUUCCGGGGCUUCGGUCGCGGAGGAGUGGCGCACGGGUGAGUAGCGCGUGGGAACCUGCCCUGUUGUGGGGGAUAACCGAGGGAAACUUCGGCUAAUACCGCAUACGCCCCGGGACUUGGUCUUCGGAUUAGGUCUGGGGGGAAAGAUUGAUCGCAGCAGGAGGGGCCCGCGUCGGAUUAGCUGGUUGGUGGGGUAACGGCUCACCAAGGCGAUGAUCCGUAGCUGGUCUGAGAGGAUGAUCAGCCACACUGGGACUGAGACACGGCCCAGACUCCUACGGGAGGCAGCAGUGGGGAAUAUUGGACAAUGGGGGCAACCCUGAUCCAGCAAUGCCGCGUGAGUGAUGAAGGCCUUAGGGUGUAAAGCUCUUUCGCCGCGACGAUGAUGACGGUAGCGGGAGAAGAAGCCCGGCUAACUUCGUGCCAGCAGCCGCGGU